GAAGUAACAAGACGAGCUUUGAUUUCUAAUCGAAAGCUAAAAUGGUUAAAUUCCAUUUUUACUUCU
This 66-nucleotide transfer RNA is filed under the name Brueelia nebulosa. RNAcentral describes it as "tRNA-Ser". Lineage: Eukaryota; Metazoa; Arthropoda; Insecta; Psocodea; Philopteridae. The record is from RNAcentral.